ACCAUCCAAAUAGAAUUCCUGCUCCUAAGGCUCAGAGUUCUCUGCAGUAGAGAGAGGAACAGUUAACAAGAACCAGAGGAUUGUGAGAUAGUGUCUCCUAGAAAUCUCAGAGAAGCUACCCCAAGAAGUCUCAUCAACAUGCCUGCCUAAACAUGACCUGAGCAAUAACAACACCAAUGAGAAUGCUGACAUCGAAAGGAGAAUACUAGAAGGGGCUAAUCUUAGACAGAGGACUAUGGGCACAUGAAAAGUAAUGAGGCUGGGAGAAACAAUCUUCCUCAAUGCUCUCAUCUAAUGAUGAAUGGUCAACUCUGAGAAAACAUAUACAUAGAGCUUCAAGAGCCACGGGGAACACAGACUUCCAGGAAGGUUGGCUCGGCCCAGAGAAUGAGGAAGCAGCUAAGAGCAAAUAUUAACCAAGCGAAGGCAGCCUGCUGGAGCCAGAGUAGGAGCAGAGGCAAGUUACAGAAUGCUUACAUUUUAUUGUACUAAGAAUUCCCCUUUGGCAAUGCCCAGGGAAACACAUAGACUAGAAGGGGAGAAAAUAACCAGAUAUAUGUGCAACUAUCAUGUGGUGAAACAUAUGUUGAGUAUUGUUUUUGUAUUAAAGGCUUGAAGACAG
Long non-coding RNA from Mastomys coucha (southern multimammate mouse), 622 nucleotides. RefSeq lists it as uncharacterized. The transcript has 2 exons. NCBI's taxonomy places the organism in Eukaryota, Metazoa, Chordata, Mammalia, Rodentia, Muridae. The record is from RefSeq and is a predicted model, not a curated record.